UACGUAGGGGGCAAGCGUUGUCCGGAAUCAUUGGGCGUAAAGAGCGUGUAGGUGGUUCAGUAAGUCCGCUGUGAAAGUCCAGGGCUCAACCCUGGAAUGCCGGUGGAUACUGUCGGGCUCGAGUCCGGAAGAGGCGAGUGGAAUUCCUGGUGUAGCGGUGAAAUGCGCAGAUAUCAGGAGGAACACCGAUGGCGAAGGCAGCUCGCUGGGACGGUACUGACGCUGAGACGCGAAAGCGUGGGGAGCAAACAGG
RNAcentral lists this ribosomal RNA (253 nucleotides) under uncultured bacterium. RNAcentral describes it as "partial 16S ribosomal RNA". It matches the Rfam family "Bacterial small subunit ribosomal RNA", at positions 524 to 776 of the family's 1533-position model. The record is from RNAcentral.